GAGCCUGUAGCCUAGUCUGGUAACCUUUCCGGCCUUGGGCCGCAAAGCUUUACCAAAAUUCGGGCGGCGUGCACUCACAAUUUUCGCUUAGCCCCCAUUGGUAAAUGGCUUAGGUUAGACAAAUAGGGCAACAGCCUCCUAAGCUGUGGGUCGGGGGUUCAAAUCCUCCCAGGCUCG
Molecule: transfer RNA, 177 nt
Filed under: Candidatus Woesearchaeota archaeon
Lineage: Archaea; Nanobdellati; Candidatus Woesearchaeota
Description: tRNA-Arg
Rfam family: tRNA
About the family: Transfer RNA (tRNA) molecules are approximately 80 nucleotides in length. Their secondary structure includes four short double-helical elements and three loops (D, anti-codon, and T loops).
Source: RNAcentral